AAUUUUCCGCAAUGGGGGAAACCCUGACGGAGCAACGCCGCGUGAGGGAUGAAGGUCUUCGGAUCGUAAACCAUUGUCAUCGAGGACGAUAAUGACGGUACUCGAGGAGGAAGCCACGGCUAACUACGUGCCAGCAGCCGCGGUAACACGUAGGGGGCGAGCGUUGUCCGGAAUUACUGGGCGUAAAGGGCGCGUAGGCGGCCUAAUAAGUCAGAUGUGAAACCCCCGGGCUUAACCCUGGGCUUGCAUUUGAAACUGGAGGGCUUGAGUAUCGGAGAGGGUAGUGGAAUUCCCAGUGUAGCGGUGAAAUGCGUAGAUAUUGGGAGGAACACCAGUGGCGAAGGCGACUACCUGGACGAUUACUGACGCUGAUGCACGAAAGCUAGGGGAGCAAAC
Molecule: ribosomal RNA, 396 nt
Filed under: uncultured bacterium
Lineage: Bacteria
Description: partial 16S ribosomal RNA
Rfam family: Bacterial small subunit ribosomal RNA
Source: RNAcentral